This 459-nucleotide ribosomal RNA is filed under the name uncultured bacterium. RNAcentral describes it as "partial 16S ribosomal RNA". It matches the Rfam family "Bacterial small subunit ribosomal RNA", at positions 338 to 795 of the family's 1533-position model. The record is from RNAcentral.
CCUACGGGAGGCAGCAGUGAGGAAUAUUGGUCAAUGGGAGAGAUCCUGAAGCAGCCACGCCGCGUGAGGGAAGACGGCCCUAUGGGUUGUAAACCUCUUUUGUCGGAGAACAAAACCCGGGACGUGUCCCGGACUGCGUGUAUCCGACGAAAAAGCAUCGGCUAACCCCGCGCCAGCAGCGGCGGUAAUACGGUGGAUGCGAGCGUAAUCCGGAUUGAUUGGGUUUAACGGGUGCGUAGGCGGUCCGUUAAGUCAGCGGUAAAGUUGCGGGGCCCAACCCCGACGGGCCGUUGAAACUGGCAGACUUGAGUUGGCGAGAAGUACGCGGAAUGCGCGGUGUAGCGGUGAAAUGCAUAGAGAUCGCGAAGAACUCCGAUUGCGAAGGCAGCGUACCGGCGCCAGACUGACGCUGAGGCACGAAAGCGUGGGGAUCGAACAGGAUUAGAUACCCUAGUAGUC